Long non-coding RNA from Aegilops tauschii subsp. strangulata, 1033 nucleotides. RefSeq lists it as uncharacterized. Lineage: Eukaryota; Viridiplantae; Streptophyta; Magnoliopsida; Poales; Poaceae. The record is from RefSeq and is a predicted model, not a curated record.
CCGUAAUCAGAAAUGUACACAAAUCAUCCACGGUACCAAAUUAGCCCGUCUUCCUCCUCCGCCUCAAAAUUCCACCGCUGCCUCUCCAUGCCCUAGAGCCUCCCGUCCCAGAUCUCAACAUCCCAUCCCUGCUACAAUCCAAUCUCUCUGUAUUCUUUUUAUCUGGAAAAGGUUGCAUUGCAAGAGCAUCCGAGAGGUGGAGAAGGGGAGCAAGGGGUGGAGGUGGUUGGAUCGGGGCUGGUGGUGCUGCGGUGUCGUGGCAGGGGUUGGGGAGGCGCCGUUGGGCAGCCGAGGAUGCUCGAGAAGCGGCGACCGAAGAAGGAAGCUCUACUGGAUGUGGAGAAGCUCCAUGGCGCGAGGGCCGAGGUGGGGCGAGCAGAUGGACAGCCGACGAGGCGCACGAGAGGCGGCAACGCCUUGGACGGCUGCAGAGGAGAUAGGCCAUGAGGGGAGGAGGAGCUGAGGCAGAACGGCAGUGUGCCAUGGCGCGGCGGCAUGCUGCCGUGGUGGAGGUCGACCGCUGCAGCGGUUGGGCCUGCCCCUCUCCACCUUGAUGCAUUCAAGAGCCCCCAAUAAUUUGGCUGUAAAAUCUCAUCAAGAAAAAAAAACGAAAAUAUGUGAAUGCCAUCCCAGGACAGAGAAAGAGGCGUUAUGGACUAGGGAUUACAUGCUGGCUAUCACCGAGGCACCGAAUGGAAAUAUGAGACAUGGAUUGAGACGGACACAAGAGAAAGAAGAAACAAAAAUAACAUUAUAGACCAGAUGAUGAGAACAAUGGUUUCUCUCAGCGCUGCAUGCUUAGCUGAUGGAACAUACUCCUGGGACAUAGCAGGCUAAGUGAUGUUCUACAGUACACAUGGAAAGUGACUUGAUGGAAGUCAACAACAUGGUAACAGGGUGAUUGGAUUUUGUGUAAUUUUGCAUAGUUCAUUUAUAUGUUCAUUUCAAAUCAGUUAGCAAUGACAUUCAACUUGGAAAGGAAGGUGAGAAACUUAUGAUUUCCAAGUAUAUAUGAUUUCCAUGCUUUGUGUUA